Molecule: non-coding RNA, 27 nt
Filed under: Rattus norvegicus (Norway rat)
Lineage: Eukaryota; Metazoa; Chordata; Mammalia; Rodentia; Muridae
Source: RNAcentral
UGUGUUGAGCAGUGGUUGUGUCCCGUU